GUGGGGAAUUUUGGACAAUGGGCGCAAGCCUGAUCCAGCAAUGCCGCGUGCAGGAAGAAGGCCUUCGGGUUGUAAACUGCUUUUGUCAGGGAAGAAAUCUUCUGGGCUAAUACCCCGGGAGGAUGACGGUACCUGAAGAAUAAGCACCGGCUAACUACGUGCCAGCAGCCGCGGUAAUACGUAGGGUGCGAGCGUUAAUCGGAAUUACUGGGCGUAAAGCGUGCGCAGGCGGCUUUGCAAGACAGAUGUGAAAUCCCCGGGCUCAACCUGGGAACUGCAUUUGUGACUGCAAGGCUAGAGUACGGCAGAGGGGGAUGGAAUUCCGCGUGUAGCAGUGAAAUGCGUAGAUAUGCGGAGGAACACCAAUGGCGAAGGCAAUCCCCUGGGCCUGUACUGACGCUCAUGCACGAAAGCGUGGGGAGCAAACAGGAUUAGAUACCCCUGUAGUCC
This 450-nucleotide ribosomal RNA is filed under the name uncultured bacterium. RNAcentral describes it as "bacterial SSU rRNA". It matches the Rfam family "Bacterial small subunit ribosomal RNA", at positions 354 to 796 of the family's 1533-position model. The record is from RNAcentral.